Molecule: ribosomal RNA, 497 nt
Filed under: uncultured bacterium
Lineage: Bacteria
Description: partial 16S ribosomal RNA
Rfam family: Bacterial small subunit ribosomal RNA
Source: RNAcentral
GAUGAACGCUGGCGGCGUGCCUAAUACAUGCAAGUCGAGCGAACAGACGAGGAGCUUGCUCCUCUGACGUUAGCGGCGGACGGGUGAGUAACACGUGGAUAACCUACCUAUAAGACUGGGAUAACUUCGGGAAACCGGAGCUAAUACCGGAUAACAUGUUGAACCGCAUGGUUCAACAGUGAAAGACGGUCUUGCUGUCACUUAUAGAUGGAUCCGCGCCGCAUUAGCUAGUUGGUAAGGUAACGGCUUACCAAGGCAACGAUGCGUAGCCGACCUGAGAGGGUGAUCGGCCACACUGGAACUGAGACACGUUCCAGACUCCUACGGGAGGCAGCAGUAGGGAAUCUUCCGCAAUGGGCGAAUGCCUGACGGAGCAACGCCGCGUGAGUGAAGAAGGUCUUCGGAUCGUAAAACUCUGUUAUUAGGGAAGAACAAAUGUGUAAGUAACUAUGCACGUCUUGACGGUACCUAAUCAGAAAGCCACGGCUAACUACGUG